This is a long non-coding RNA of Acanthochromis polyacanthus (spiny chromis), 773 nucleotides long. RefSeq lists it as uncharacterized. NCBI's taxonomy places the organism in Eukaryota, Metazoa, Chordata, Actinopteri, Pomacentridae. The record is from RefSeq and is a predicted model, not a curated record. The transcript has 2 exons.
UAUGAACUAUAUUUUAAACUUUGUCUUUCAGUAACAUGCUGUAUAUUGCUCAGUAUGUGAUUAUCAUUAGUAUCAUGUUGGACCCUUGUAUGUUCUUUCUUUUUUAAAUAGCACUUCAUUUUUUAAAAUAUUUUUUUAACCUUCAUCUAACAGGUGAUAUUUAAUUUAGAUUAAGACUCUCGUCAUAAGCACAUCAUGAACAUUAGUGGCACCAAGUUUUUUUUUCUUUUUGUAAACUUAGUGUUUUCAAAUUUUGCACAAGGUCAGGUGAAUGAUUCACCAAUCGAACACACGUACUCUCGGGAAUUUCCUGUUUUGUGCAAAGUCAGGUGAAGUUUUUAAGCAGGAGACUUUUCAGGGACUCAUUGCACAGAAGCAAAGAUUUUCAAACCACAAGGAUGAAGACACUUGCGGCUCUGAUUCUAGCGUUUUGCUGCUGCUCUUGCGAACCUCAAAUUUCUAAAGCAAAUGGUGAAGCCUAUCAGCACUCAACCAGCUGUGAUGUCUGCUCCCUCACUUCCAUAGCUCAAAACCUGGGAGCCAUGGGAGAGAAAAUCGCAUAUAUGGCAGACAAAAUAAGUUUCCUGGAGACCAAGCUGCAAAACACUGAAAAGGAAGUCCUGGAACUGCGUAACCUUACUGGUGGCAUUCCACGAGUAGCAUUUUCGGCAACUCUCAGGGAAUCUGGCACUGGAAACAUUGGACCUUUCACCACUGCUACCCCACUUAAGUAUAAGAAGGUUUUCUCAAACACUGGCAGCUGCUACAAUCCC